AACGAACGCUGGCGGCAUGCCUAACACAUGCAAGUCGAACGAGCUCUUCGGAGCUAGUGGCGCACGGGUGCGUAACGCGUGGGAAUCUGCCCUUGGGUUCGGAAUAACAGUUAGAAAUGA
RNAcentral lists this ribosomal RNA (120 nucleotides) under uncultured bacterium. RNAcentral's name for it is "partial 16S ribosomal RNA". It matches the Rfam family "Bacterial small subunit ribosomal RNA", at positions 29 to 159 of the family's 1533-position model. The record is from RNAcentral.